Molecule: long non-coding RNA, 275 nt
Filed under: Elaeis guineensis (African oil palm)
Lineage: Eukaryota; Viridiplantae; Streptophyta; Magnoliopsida; Arecales; Arecaceae
Description: long non-coding RNA (EGUI_LNC016136)
Source: RNAcentral
GCUAGAUGCUACCACUAUUUAUAGGACAAGAAUCCUGAUAUAAGAUAAAUCUCUAUUGCACAGAAGACCAUGUUGAAAUCCUCAAUCAUAUGAAAAGAAUAAGACUUAGAACAGCAUAUUAUUGUUCCUAAAGGAGUGUUUGAUAGCAUGUAAUCUUGAUAGAAUUACAUAUAAUUUUGCAACAAGUGAUCAGAUUACACUGUUUGUUUCGUUAUUUUCACAGAUAAUGCUGCAUUAUAUGUAAUACAGCAUUAUUUAAAAAAGACGUAAUCUAA